RNAcentral lists this ribosomal RNA (497 nucleotides) under uncultured bacterium. RNAcentral's name for it is "partial 16S ribosomal RNA". It matches the Rfam family "Bacterial small subunit ribosomal RNA", at positions 28 to 507 of the family's 1533-position model. The record is from RNAcentral.
GAUGAACGCUGGCGGCGCGCCUAAUACAUGCAAGUCGAGCGAACAGACGAGGAGCUUGCUCCUCUGACGUUAGCGGCGGACGGGUGAGUAACACGUGGAUAACCUACCUAUAAGACUGGGAUAACUUCGGGAAACCGGAGCUAAUACCGGAUAAUAUAUUGAACCGCAUGGUUCAAUAGUGAAAGACGGUUUUGCUGUCACUUAUAGAUGGAUCCGCGCCGCAUUAGCUAGUUGUUAAGGUAACGGCUUACCAAGGCAACGAUGCGUAGCCGACCUGAGAGGGUGAUCGGCCACACUGGAACUGAGACACGGACCAGACUCCUACGGGAGGCAGCAGUAGGGAAUCUUCCGCAGUGGGCGAAAGCAUGACGGAGCAACGCCGAGUGAGUGAUGAAGGUCUUCGGAUCGUAAAAAUCUGUUAUUAGGGAAGAACAAAUGUGUACGUAAAUAUGCACGUCUUGACGGUACCUAAUCAGAAAGCCACGGCUAACUACGUG